Molecule: ribosomal RNA, 91 nt
Filed under: Staphylococcus simulans
Lineage: Bacteria; Bacillati; Bacillota; Bacilli; Caryophanales; Staphylococcaceae
Also listed under: 1 other name
Source: RNAcentral
ACACCUGUUCCCAUGCCGAACACAGAAGUUAAGCUCUUUAGCGCCGAUGGUAGUCGGACUUACGUUCCGCAAGAGUAGGACGUUGCCAGGC